AGACUAUUGGGAAGAAGUUACCAUCAACUACAGCAACUAUAGACCCAUCAAAAACAGAAAUGACAGCAAGGACAAAGACUAAGGAUUACUGCAAGGUAAUAUUUCCAUAUGAGGCACAGAAUGAUGAUGAAUUGACCAUCAAAGAAGGAGAUAUAGUGACCCUCAUCAAUAAGGACUGCAUUGAUGUAGGCUGGUGGGAAGGAGAGCUCAAUGGCAGACGAGGAGUGUUCCCUGAUAACUUCGUGAAGUUACUUCCACCGGACUUUGACAAAGAAGGGAAU
Molecule: non-coding RNA, 281 nt
Organism: Castor canadensis (American beaver)
Lineage: Eukaryota; Metazoa; Chordata; Mammalia; Rodentia; Castoridae
Source: RefSeq, a predicted model, not a curated record